RNAcentral lists this ribosomal RNA (331 nucleotides) under uncultured eukaryote. Its description in RNAcentral is "partial 18S ribosomal RNA". It matches the Rfam family "Eukaryotic small subunit ribosomal RNA", at positions 1470 to 1796 of the family's 1831-position model. The record is from RNAcentral.
CCCUUAGAUGUUCUGGGCCGCACGCGCGCUACACUGACGAAGUCAGCGAGCAUGUCCUACGCCGACAGGUGCGGGGAAUCUUGUCAAACUUCGUCGUGAUGGGGAUUGAUUAUUGAAAUUCUUGAUCAUCAACGAGGAAUUCCUAGUAAGCGCAAGUCAGCAGCUUGCGUUGAUUACGUCCCUGCCCUUUGUACACACCGCCCGUCGCUACUACCGAUUGGAUGGUUUAGUGAGGUCCUCGGAUUGGUCUCGGCCCGCUCUUUACCGGGCGGCGCCGUUGGUCGAGAAGACGCUCGAACUUGAUCGUUUAGAGGAAGUAAAAGUCGUAACA